RNAcentral lists this ribosomal RNA (468 nucleotides) under uncultured bacterium. RNAcentral's name for it is "partial 16S ribosomal RNA". It matches the Rfam family "Bacterial small subunit ribosomal RNA", at positions 28 to 507 of the family's 1533-position model. The record is from RNAcentral.
GACGAACGCUGGCGGCGUGCCUAACACAUGCAAGUAGAACGGAAAGGCCCUGCCUUUGUGGGGUGCUCGAGUGGCGAACGGGUGAGUAACACGUGAGUAACCCCCCCUUGACAUUGGGAUAACUCCAGGUAACUGCGGCUAACACCCGAUAGGAGCUCCUGCUGCAUGGUGGGGGCUGGAAAGCUCCGGCGGUUGGGGAUGGACUCGCGGCUUAGCAGUUUGUUGGUGGAGUAGUGGCUUACCAAGGCUUUGACGGGUAGCCGGCCUGUGAGGGUGAACAGCCACAUUGCGCCUGCGGUACGCACCAGACUCCUACGGGAGGCAUGAGGCGCGAGUCUGACACAAUGGGCGGGAGCGUGGGGCGGCAGCGCGGCGUUCGGGAUGACGGCCUUCGCGUUGUAAACCGCUUUCGCCUGUGACGGGGCGUGAGUGACGGUACUGUGUAAAGAAGCACCGGCUAACUACGUG